RNAcentral lists this transfer RNA (74 nucleotides) under Sphaerodactylus townsendi. Its description in RNAcentral is "tRNA-Pro". The record is from RNAcentral. Lineage: Eukaryota; Metazoa; Chordata; Lepidosauria; Squamata; Sphaerodactylidae.
UGGGCUAUUGACUCAGAGGUAGAAUGUUUGUUUUGGAUGCAGAAGGUGUCAAGUUCAAUACUUAGCUUGUCCAG